RNAcentral lists this unclassified non-coding RNA (386 nucleotides) under Hevea brasiliensis (rubber tree). Lineage: Eukaryota; Viridiplantae; Streptophyta; Magnoliopsida; Malpighiales; Euphorbiaceae. The record is from RNAcentral.
GGCGAAUCCGACACCGUCUCCGUUCCCGAUCUCGCCUCCGAUCCACAACGUUCCUUCUUCUCAUCCUUCAUUAUUUGACUCGACCGGCACUCCGAACUACAAAACGCCAUUUCCCCUCUGUACAUGUAAAUGUCUUUGCCCUCUAGAUUUUUCCCACAUAAAUGACACGAUCGGAGGAAAUCAGGGGUCCGACGCGGCGGAGCUUGAUCGGCGGGAACCGGCGAUGGAGGCGAUUUCUUGCCGGCAACGAGACCACCGUCGUAGUACACACGUGUGGAGGAUUCGUGAGGUCCACGUGUGGUAACGUAAGUGUAAUUUUCCUCCAAAUUGUCGAGUUCUUCGUCGACGUCUUCCUCCGGCGGGAACGACCCACCGACCAAUCCGAU